AUGCCGCGUUUGUGGAACACACUGAUUAGCACCGCUGAGGGAGGCGGGCUGCUCCCUGCAGGAGAACGUGAUGGUGUCUCUGGCCAACGCGCGCCUUCUGCUUCCUGUGUUCCAGCUGGAGAGGAGGAAGUGGCAGCUGGAGAGGAGGAAGUGGCAGCUGAGGAGGCCGGCGAAGAGGAGGCUGCCGCUGAUGGCGAAGGAGAGACCGUAGCCGAGGUCGUGGCCGAGGUUGCAGAGGUCGUCGCUGAGGCGGCGGAGGAGGUCGCCGAGGCGGCAGAGGAAGUUACAGAGGUCGCUCGUGAAGUGGAGGCGGUCGCGGGAGAGGUGGCUAAGGCGGCCGAAGCCGCCCCCCAAGCCGCCGCAGAACCAGCCGCCGAGGAGCCCGACAGCAACGUGCCGCUGGCUGCUGCUUCUGCUCUAGAAGUACCAAAGAUCAUUGAAGUGACGGAAGAGUUAGCCGCAGCCAUUCAGGACAUCGAUGAGUCCCUUGCACAAGUUGAGGAGGCUACCAAGCCAGCAGAAGAGUCCCCAGCACCAGUAGAGCCUGCACCAGUUGAAGACACCACAGCACCAGUAGAGGUUGCACCAGUUGAAGAGGCCCCAGCACCAGUAGAGGUUGUUGAAGAGUCCCCAGUAGAGGCUGCACCAGUUGAAGAGGCCCCAGCACCAGUAGAGGCUGCACCAGCUGUUGAAGAGGCCCCGGCACCAGUAGAGGCUGCACCAGUUGUUGAGGAAGUCUUGGUACCAUCUGAACCUGAAGUUACCACAGCACUUGCUGAGGAACCAGUCACCACCGCAGUUGAUGAAGAGGCUCUGGCAACCAUCGCUGCAGAAGUAGCGACCCCUAUGGUGGUUGAAGAAGCGGCUACUGAGACCCUUGCAGAAGCUCCGAAGAGAGAGUACAUUGUUGUGGUCCUGGAAGGAACACCUAAAGCUGAUAAGUCACCCAAGGUGCUUGGAGUGGAGUCCAUGACUGGUAGAAUCAUCCCAACUCCAGACGACGACGUCUCUGCUUCUGAGGUAUCGGAUAAUCCGAUUUUUUUGGGAGUAACCUCAGAUAGGACAUAUGAUAAAAAAAAACAUGGAUUAAUCUAUCUUUCAGUAUUGCAGUGUUUUGAGAAAGGGUUUAAAGAACAGUUAUUAUCAGAAUGCUCUUAA
Molecule: long non-coding RNA, 1158 nt
Organism: Gasterosteus aculeatus (three-spined stickleback)
Lineage: Eukaryota; Metazoa; Chordata; Actinopteri; Perciformes; Gasterosteidae
Source: Ensembl